This is a small nuclear RNA of Choloepus hoffmanni (Hoffmann's two-fingered sloth), 110 nucleotides long. The record is from Ensembl. NCBI's taxonomy places the organism in Eukaryota, Metazoa, Chordata, Mammalia, Pilosa, Megalonychidae.
GUGCUCGCUUCAGCAGCACAUAUAAUAAAACUGAAACAAUACAGAGAAGAUUAGCAUGACCCCUGCACAAGAAUGACAUACAAAUUUUUGUUGAAAGUUAUCACCUUUCU